UGGGGAAUAUUGGGCAAUGGGGGAAACCCUGACCCAGCAACGCCGCGUGAAGGAAGAAGGCCUUCGGGUUGUAAACUUCUUUUACCAGGGACGAAGGACGUGACGGUACCUGGAGAAAAAGCAACGGCUAACUACGUGCCAGCAGCCGCGGUAAUACGUAGGUUGCAAGCGUUGUCCGGAUUUACUGGGUGUAAAGGGCGUGUAGGCGGAGGAGCAAGUCAGAUGUGAAAUCCAUGGGCUUAACCCAUGAACUGCAUUUGAAACUGUUUCCCUUGAGUAUCGGAGAGGCAAGCGGAAUUCCUAGUGUAGCGGUGAAAUGCGUAGAUAUUAGGAGGAACACCAGUGGCGAAGGCGGCUUGCUGGACGACAACUGACGCUGAGGCGCGAAAGCGUGGGGAGCAAACAGG
Molecule: ribosomal RNA, 407 nt
Filed under: uncultured Oscillospiraceae bacterium
Lineage: Bacteria; Bacillati; Bacillota; Clostridia; Eubacteriales; Oscillospiraceae
Description: bacterial SSU rRNA
Rfam family: Bacterial small subunit ribosomal RNA
Source: RNAcentral